Molecule: ribosomal RNA, 253 nt
Filed under: uncultured bacterium
Lineage: Bacteria
Description: partial 16S ribosomal RNA
Rfam family: Bacterial small subunit ribosomal RNA
Source: RNAcentral
UACAGAGGUCCCAAGCGUUGUUCGGAAUUACUGGGCGUAAAGGGCUCGUAGGUGGCCAACUAAGUCAGACGUGAAAUCCCUCGGCUUAACCGGGGAACUGCGUCUGAUACUGGAUGGCUCGAGUUCGGGAGAGGGAUGCGGAAUUCCAGGUGUAGCGGUGAAAUGCGUAGAUAUCUGGAGGAACACCGGUGGCGAAGGCGGCAUCCUGGACCGACACUGACACUGAGGAGCGAAAGCCAGGGGAGCAAACGGG